GGACUACCAGGGUUUCUAAUCCCGUUCGCUCCCCUGGCUUUCGCACCUGAGCGUCAGAAGCGAGCCAGAACAUUGCCUUCGCCAUUGGUGUUCUUCCAGAUAUCUACGCAUUUCACUACUACACCUGGAGUUCCAUGUUCCUCUCUCGCUCUCAAGUCUACCAGUUUUCAAAGUCCUUUCCCGGUUAAGCCGGAAACUGUCACCCCGAACUUGGCAGACCGCCUGCGUGCGCUUUACGCCCAGUAAUUCCGGAUAACGCUCGCCUCCUACGUAUUACCGCGGCUGCUGGCAC
Molecule: ribosomal RNA, 292 nt
Filed under: uncultured bacterium
Lineage: Bacteria
Description: partial 16S ribosomal RNA
Source: RNAcentral